AUUCCAGCUCCAAUAGCGUAUAUUAAAGUUGUUGCAGUUAAAAAGCUCGUAGUCGGAUUUUGGCAUCACGCCGAACUGUCUGCCGAUUGGUAAGUACGGUUUGGCGGGUGCUUCCUUCCGGAGGCUCGUUCCCUUCUUCAUUGAAGGGUUCGUUGGUUCCGGGUCUUUUACUUUGAGAAAAUUAGAGUGUUCAAAGCAGGCCUAUGCUCUGAAUAGGUUAGCAUGGAAUAAUAGAAUAGGACUUUGGUUCUAUUUUGUUGGUUUCUAGGACCGAAGUAAUGAUUAACAGGGACAGUCAGGGGCACUCGCAUUCCGCCGAGAGAGGUGAAAUUCUUAGACCAGCGGAAGACGAACCACUGCGAAAGCAUUUGCCAGGGAUGUUUUCAUCG
RNAcentral lists this ribosomal RNA (389 nucleotides) under Picozoa sp. RNAcentral describes it as "partial small subunit ribosomal RNA". It matches the Rfam family "Eukaryotic small subunit ribosomal RNA", at positions 582 to 975 of the family's 1831-position model. The record is from RNAcentral. Lineage: Eukaryota; Picozoa.